GCUUAACACAUGCAAGUCGAGGGGCAGCAUGGUCUUAGCUUGCUAAGGCCGAUGGCGACCGGCGCACGGGUGAGUAACACGUAUCCAACCUGCCGUCUACUCUUGGACAGCCUUCUGAAAGGAAGAUUAAUACAAGAUGGCAUCAUGAGUCCGCAUGUUCACAUGAUUAAAGGUAUUCCGGUAGACGAUGGGGAUGCGUUCCAUUAGAUAGUAGGCGGGGUAACGGCCCACCUAGUCUUCGAUGGAUAGGGGUUCUGAGAGGAAGGUCCCCCACAUUGGAACUGAGACACGGUCCAAACUCCUACGGGAGGCAGCAGUGAGGAAUAUUGGUCAAUGGGCGAGAGCCUGAACCAGCCAAGUAGCGUGAAGGAUGACUGCCCUAUGGGUUGUAAACUUCUUUUAUAAAGGAAUAAAGUCGGGUAUGGAUACCCGUUUGCAUGUACUUUAUGAAUAAGGAUCGGCUAACUCCGUGCCAGCAGCCGCGGUAAUACGGAGGAUCCGAGCGUUAUCCGGAUUUAUUGGGUUUAAAGGGAGCGUAGAUGGAUGUUUAAGUCAGUUGUGAAAGUUUGCGGCUCAACCGUAAAAUUGCAGUUGAUACUGGAUAUCUUGAGUGCAGUUGAGGCAGGCGGAAUUCGUGGUGUAGCGGUGAAAUGCUUAGAUAUCACGAAGAACUCCGAUUGCGAAGGCAGCCUGCUAAGCUGCAACUGACAUUGAGGCUCGAAUGUGUGAGUAUCAAACAGGAUUAGAUACCUUGGUAGUCCACACGGUAAACGAUGAAUACUCGCUGUUUGCGAUAUACAG
Molecule: ribosomal RNA, 801 nt
Filed under: uncultured bacterium
Lineage: Bacteria
Description: bacterial SSU rRNA
Rfam family: Bacterial small subunit ribosomal RNA
Source: RNAcentral